AGUGAACGCUGGCGGUAGGCCUAACACAUGCAAGUCGAACGGCAGCACAGGAGAGCUUGCUCUCUGGGUGGCGAGUGGCGGACGGGUGAGGAAUACAUCGGAAUCUACUCUGUCGGGGGGGAUAACGUAGGGAAACUUACGCUAAUACCGCAUACGACCUACGGGUGAAAGCAGGGGACCUUCGGGCCUUGCGCGAUUGAAUGAGCCGAUGUCGGAUUAGCUAGUUGGCGGGGUAAAGGCCCACCAAGGCGACGAACCGUAGCUGGUCUGAGAGGAUGAUCAGCCACACUGGAACUGAGACACGGUCCAGACUCCUACGGGAGGCAGCAGUGGGGAAUAUUGGACAAUGGGCGCAAGCCUGAUCCAGCCAUACCGCGUGGGUGAAGAAGGCCUUCGGGUUGUAAAGCCCUUUUGUUGGGAAAGAAAUCCAGCUGGCUAAUACCCGGUUGGGAUGACGGUACCCAAAGAAUAAGCACCGGCUAACUUCGUGCCAGCAGCCGCCGUAA
Molecule: ribosomal RNA, 506 nt
Filed under: uncultured bacterium
Lineage: Bacteria
Description: partial 16S ribosomal RNA
Rfam family: Bacterial small subunit ribosomal RNA
Source: RNAcentral